GCAUUUUUACUAGAAAACGUGAAGCAUAUGAGAAAGUAGAGGUUCAUAAAAAGUCUCUCCCUGUUUAUGAAUUAUCAACAACUAAUUCCAGUAUUGAAAUAUCUCAUUUUUCUUCCAAAUGAAUAUUGAUUUG
Tinamus guttatus (white-throated tinamou) is the source of this 133-nucleotide non-coding RNA. NCBI's taxonomy places the organism in Eukaryota, Metazoa, Chordata, Aves, Tinamiformes, Tinamidae. The record is from RefSeq and is a predicted model, not a curated record.